This 294-nucleotide unclassified non-coding RNA is filed under the name uncultured Lachnospiraceae bacterium. Its description in RNAcentral is "contains 16S-23S intergenic spacer region". The record is from RNAcentral. Lineage: Bacteria; Bacillati; Bacillota; Clostridia; Lachnospirales; Lachnospiraceae.
UGGACUACUCGGGUAUCUAAUCCUGUUUGCUCCCCACGCUUUCGAGCCUCAACGUCAGUUACAGUCCAGUAAGCCGCCUUCGCCACUGGUGUUCCUCCUAAUAUCUACGCAUUUCACCGCUACACUAGGAAUUCCACUUACCUCUCCUGCACUCUAGCUGCACAGUUUCCAAAGCAGUUCCGGGGUUAAGCCCCGGCAUUUCACUUCAGACUUGUGCUGCCGUCUACGCUCCCUUUACACCCAGUAAAUCCGGAUAACGCUUGCCCCCUACGUAUUACCGCGGCGGCUGGCACA